Molecule: ribosomal RNA, 723 nt
Filed under: Lactiplantibacillus plantarum
Lineage: Bacteria; Bacillati; Bacillota; Bacilli; Lactobacillales; Lactobacillaceae
Description: bacterial SSU rRNA
Rfam family: Bacterial small subunit ribosomal RNA
Source: RNAcentral
GCAACGCCGCGUGAGUGAAGAAGGGUUUCGGCUCGUAAAACUCUGUUGUUAAAGAAGAACAUAUCUGAGAGUAACUGUUCAGGUAUUGACGGUAUUUAACCAGAAAGCCACGGCUAACUACGUGCCAGCAGCCGCGGUAAUACGUAGGUGGCAAGCGUUGUCCGGAUUUAUUGGGCGUAAAGCGAGCGCAGGCGGUUUUUUAAGUCUGAUGUGAAAGCCUUCGGCUCAACCGAAGAAGUGCAUCGGAAACUGGGAAACUUGAGUGCAGAAGAGGACAGUGGAACUCCAUGUGUAGCGGUGAAAUGCGUAGAUAUAUGGAAGAACACCAGUGGCGAAGGCGGCUGUCUGGUCUGUAACUGACGCUGAGGCUCGAAAGUAUGGGUAGCAAACAGGAUUAGAUACCCUGGUAGUCCAUACCGUAAACGAUGAAUGCUAAGUGUUGGAGGGUUUCCGCCCUUCAGUGCUGCAGCUAACGCAUUAAGCAUUCCGCCUGGGGAGUACGGCCGCAAGGCUGAAACUCAAAGGAAUUGACGGGGGCCCGCACAAGCGGUGGAGCAUGUGGUUUAAUUCGAAGCUACGCGAAGAACCUUACCAGGUCUUGACAUACUAUGCAAAUCUAAGAGAUUAGACGUUCCCUUCGGGGACAUGGAUACAGGUGGUGCAUGGUUGUCGUCAGCUCGUGUCGUGAGAUGUUGGGUUAAGUCCCGCAACGAGCGCAACUCU